Molecule: long non-coding RNA, 424 nt
Organism: Oryzias melastigma (Indian medaka)
Lineage: Eukaryota; Metazoa; Chordata; Actinopteri; Beloniformes; Adrianichthyidae
Exons: 2
Source: RefSeq, a predicted model, not a curated record
UGGAGGGGGGAAAACAGCUAGCGUUAGCUGGCUAAUCCAAAACAAACGAGGCUUCGGCGGCAGCGACGGAGUUGGGAAAUUUACCCCCCGAAAAUACGCGCAAAGUGACCGUCCUGUUUGCUACAGUCAGAAGAAAAUGAGGUUCCCCCUCUCCGUCUCUUUUUCUGAGUCUCUCCACCAGUAAACAAGUCCUGCCAGUCACCUCAGCUGGGCCGCACGUGGUCGGUGGGAAAACCCGGCCCGGACCACCGAGGCGCCGCUUCUUUCCCUGGAGUCAGGAUCCGGAGUGAGCGAGGAACAGCGGCGCUCUUUGUCAGGGAGGACGCCGAGCCCCCCCGCCGCAAACUGGACCAGCAAAUACAAAGAAAAUAUGCAUUACAUUUAUUUAUAUUUGACAGUAAAUACAAAUGAAAUAUGUUUUACA